RNAcentral lists this ribosomal RNA (469 nucleotides) under uncultured bacterium. RNAcentral describes it as "bacterial SSU rRNA". It matches the Rfam family "Bacterial small subunit ribosomal RNA", at positions 29 to 520 of the family's 1533-position model. The record is from RNAcentral.
AUUGAACGCUGGCGGUAGGCCUAACACAUGCAAGUCGAACGCGAAAGUCCUUCGGGAUGAGUAGAGUGGCGGACGGGUGAGUAACGCGUAGGAAUCUAUCCUGUAGUGGGGGAUAACGUUUCGAAAGGAACGCUAAUACCGCAUACGCCCCAAGGGGGAAAGCGGGGGAUCUUCGGACCUCGUGCUAUAGGAGGAGCCUGCGUCGGAUUAGCUAGUUGGUGAGGUAAAGGCUCACCAAGGCGACGAUCCGUAGCUGGUCUGAGAGGAUGAUCAGCCACACCGGAACUGAGACACGGUCCGGACUCCUACGGGAGGCAGCAGUGGGGAAUAUUGCACAAUGGAGGAAACUCUGAUGCAGCGACGCCGUGUGAGUGAAGAAGGUCUUCGGAUCGUAAAACUCUGUCCUUGGUGAGAAAGAAUGACGGUAGCCAAGGAGGAAGCCCGGCUAACUACGUGCCAGCAGCCGCGG